CUUAGCUCAGCUGGUAGAGCAGUAGACUCUUAAUCUAUUUGUCCAGGGUUCGAGUCCCUGAA
This 62-nucleotide transfer RNA is filed under the name Oribacterium sinus. It matches the Rfam family "tRNA", at positions 7 to 64 of the family's 71-position model. Rfam says of the family: Transfer RNA (tRNA) molecules are approximately 80 nucleotides in length. Their secondary structure includes four short double-helical elements and three loops (D, anti-codon, and T loops). The record is from RNAcentral. Lineage: Bacteria; Bacillati; Bacillota; Clostridia; Lachnospirales; Lachnospiraceae.